Zonotrichia albicollis (white-throated sparrow) is the source of this 1121-nucleotide long non-coding RNA. RefSeq lists it as uncharacterized. NCBI's taxonomy places the organism in Eukaryota, Metazoa, Chordata, Aves, Passeriformes, Passerellidae. The record is from RefSeq and is a predicted model, not a curated record.
GGGCGGCCGCAGCUGCUCUGGGCAGCCUGUGCUUAAGGCCGCCCCAGCCGCACAGCGUUAGGAUUUCUAUUAGGAUUUCUUCCUAAUAUCGAAUGGAAACCUUCGCUCUUCCAGGUUAAACCCAUUCCGCCGGGUCCUGUCUCUACGUGCUCUUGCUGAGCAAUAUUUGAGUCAUCUGCCUGUGCCCAUGGAUUACAGCAAUGGAAAACUUUAAACCAUUUAUGUGGAUUCCAGAAUCCCUUCGGCCGAGCCUCGCUGUGAAAACUGAAGGACUCAGGAUAUAUCAGCGUGGACAGAGGAACAUCACGGGUCGCAUGUCUGGUUAUUAAAGGCAUCAUGUUGACAAAUGUGUUCAUAUCAAUAUUGUGGCUAUUUUAAAAGAAAAAUGUACAUUUUGGUGUACAGCUGAAUCAAUACCUGCUAAAUUAUGUUGAAUAAGCAGUGAUGAAUACCAUCGUGAUCUGUUGCUUUGGUGGGACAAGGGCAAUCCUUUGGAGUUCACAUUCAGAUAUAAAUGUAUCCAUUUAUUGCCCUCUAGGAGAGGGUCCCAAAAGGCAAACAAGACAGAAUAGUGAAUUUCUGAUCUGUGUCUAGUACAUACACAGUGAUACAAACCUGGGGUUCAGGGGGUUGUCCAUUUCUUGUGACUCUCUGAGGCUUAGCUGAGUACUGGGGGAAAUAUUUGCCUUUUAAAUCAUGAACACCUGUUGAUAAAAUCUUAUAAUACCACGUUUCAAAUAAAAGGACAGCUCUAAAACUGGCAGGUGUCUUGAACUCAAAGUAGAACUUUGGCAGCAGAAGUUACGGGGUUAUAAAAUAUGGCAAGCUCUGUCUAGAUGCUCUGUUCUAAAAUUUCCUUUGAGAUCCAUCUCUUCCUUCCUGUGUAAAUCUUCCUUUUUCUCAUUCUGUUCAUUUUAACAAUAAUUAUUUGGACAUAGUUUGUGAUACAGUCUUAACCAUACCUAAGUUGUAAUGAUGAAAUUAAUCAAGUCAUCAUGAAUUUAAUCAUUUCUUUGCAAUGUCAUGUUAUUUCCAGCUGCAUCCAUUUAUAGUUUACAGGUUAUCAUUCUACAGCACCAGUUUAACAAUGGCUUGUUAAAAAUAAAUGCUCAAAUCUGUUG